Long non-coding RNA from Ornithorhynchus anatinus (platypus), 380 nucleotides. RefSeq lists it as uncharacterized. The record is from RefSeq and is a predicted model, not a curated record. NCBI's taxonomy places the organism in Eukaryota, Metazoa, Chordata, Mammalia, Monotremata, Ornithorhynchidae. The transcript is spliced from 2 exons.
CAACCUGUUUCCUUAGCAACCUAGUAUUACAGAAUUCGGAUGUACUUUUCGGUUCUUCAUUUAUUUAAGUGGGUGCUUUCAUUCAGUUAGUGAUCACGAAACAAAGAAGAGCAGGAAGAUCCGAAAUGAUAACGUCUGCAGAGAACUUGGAACAGCUUGGCGCAAGAUGCUUUUCGAAAUGAAGUACGCACUGCUGUCUGACGUGGAGGAUGUCUGCACAAAGAUCUUCACGGUUAUCUGCCUGGGGGUUUACAUUUGACUUGGACUGCAGCCUGCCAGGAUCUUGCUUUUUAUGCUCCAUAAAUAAUUAAACACAUUAAUAAUGGAAAGGAUGUUCCUGACACUAGCACGCUGGCAAAUAUUAGUAGCAGACCUCCCGA